GAGUAACACGUAGGUAAUCUGCCUUCAGGUCUGACAUAACCCACCGAAAGGUGAGCUAAUAUCAGAUGAUGCAGCGGCUUGACAUCAAGACAGUUGUUAAAGCUUCGGCGCCUGAAGAUGAGCCUGCGUCUGAUUAGCUAGUUGGCGGGGUAACGGCCCACCAAGGCAACGAUCAGUAGCUGGUCUGAGAGGAUGAUCAGCCACACUGGAACUGAGACACGGUCCAGACUCCUACGGGAGGCAGCAGUAAGGAAUAUUGCUCAAUGGCCGAAAGGCUGAAGCAGCAACGCCGCGUGAGGGAUGAAGGGCUUUUGCUUGUAAACCUCUGUAGUGAGAGAAAAAACUUCCACUCUGUGGAACAUGAUGGUAUCUCAAAAGUAAGCCCCGGCUAACUACGUGCCAGCAGCCGCGGUAAUACGUAGGGGGCAAACGUUGUCCGGAUUUACUGGGUGUAAAGGGUGCUCAGGCGGUUUUGUAAGUCAGAAGUGAAAUCCUAGAGCUUAACUCUGGAACUGCUUUUGAUACUGCAAGGCUUGAAUAUGGAAGAGGAGGAUGGAAUUUCUGGUGUAGCAGUGAAAUGCGUAGAUAUCAGAAAGAACACCAGUGGCGAAGGCGGUCCUCUGGUCCAUUAUUGACGCUAAAGCACGAAAGCGUGGGGAGCAAACAGGAUUAGAUACCAUGGUAGUCCAC
Molecule: ribosomal RNA, 690 nt
Filed under: uncultured soil bacterium
Lineage: Bacteria
Description: bacterial SSU rRNA
Rfam family: Bacterial small subunit ribosomal RNA
Source: RNAcentral